This is a long non-coding RNA of Mirounga angustirostris (Northern elephant seal), 1443 nucleotides long. RefSeq lists it as uncharacterized. The record is from RefSeq and is a predicted model, not a curated record. NCBI's taxonomy places the organism in Eukaryota, Metazoa, Chordata, Mammalia, Carnivora, Phocidae. The transcript is spliced from 3 exons.
UGCAUGCUUCCAGAAUUUGGUUUUUAUUGUUUUUUCAUUUUCUCUAUUUUCUCUAGUUCUUCCUUUUCCUGUUAUUCAUUCUCCAAGUCCUGUUCCCACAUAUCCUCGCUUUUUUUGUACCACCCCUUCCUAUUUCUCUAGACCUUUGUGGAGAGACACAACUUUCUUUGCUCUUUCAUCACAGAAAUGUCAUGAAAUUCUGCUCCAAAUUCCCUUAAACUAUGUGUAACGGAUUGCCCUGGCUCCAGGGAACACACCAGUGAGAGGCACGGAAUGACUCGGAGUUGUGAGCAUGAAAGAGGAUGGGUUAUGCUCUCUCUUAGGUCCAUUCCACUCUUAGGACGCCGUGAUUCCAUGAAGAGAUACUCCUGGGGUAGGAAGUGAAUGAUGUUUGUUCAAGCCACAUGGUUACUUUUGGAAUGGCCUGCUAGAUUUAGAAUGAGUGAUGGAGAGUAUGCCGUUGAUGUGCCAACAGUUACUCCUGUUAAGAGCUUUAUGACUCGCUAAUGCAGAAAUGACAGCAGAAUUCCUAUUGUUUUAUGUCAAGAGCAUCUGCCAACAUUUGCAGUGAUAACAGCCCUGAGAGAUACCGAAAUGUGAGACUCAGAUGUGGCAAGUUUCCUCAGUACAUGCGGGCAGAAGAUCAAGGACUGGGGCCGGCUGCUGCAUGUUCUAAGGGAGGCCUCACCAGUGACUGCGGCUUUUCUUUCUGAGACCUCUCUGCAAACCGCCUCCACCCCAUCGCAUUCCCAAUGCCCUACAAUUUCCUUCCUACUUUCUUGUUCACUUCUAAGGCUCUUUGAUAAGUAGGCUAAUAUUUCUAGUGGACUUAAUAUAUCAUUAAAUAGGUUUUAAAUGUAAAAAUUGCGCUACCUGGACCUACCCCUUCUUAAGAACCAGGUCCGCUGACCCUCUGAGAAAGAUUAUUGAGUAAAAAUGUUAGGUGAGUUAAAAUAAUUUAAUAAUAAAAAAAUACCACUGCCCCCAUGCCACUGUAUUCUUUUCCUUUCUCUAUCAAAACAAACAAACAAACAAACAAACAAAACUGCAAUAGGACUCACCGCACCUAACACUGGUGAUAUUUUUAACACACUUUGUACAUACUUGGACUCACUUUAAUUUUUAAUUCUUUCAGAUGGGAAACUUCCUGAAAUUCAGUAAAACACAACUGCAUGAAAUCCCCUUCAAGAAAUUAUUCCAAAGGAGUUGAAUGCGUGCUCUGUCAUAUACCUAGAGCUGGAUCUGCUAGGAAAUGAACUGACUACAUUUUCAUUUACAGCUUCUCCAACUCAAGCAGAGACGAUUUAUCCUCUCCUUCACUCUUAGCAGUUUAUCUAAUGCUGAAGAACACAUAGACAGAUAGGAUCUCUUUGAACUAUCUUCGAUUAUACUGUCAAUUCAUACCAUUAUUUAAAUAACACAAUUUUAUUAUUUUAAAAAUUG